GUUCUUGGAAAGGAGAAAGGUAAAUGAGGAGUAGCCCAUGAGCUGCUGUGAAGGCCAGAACCAUCUUGGCAGGCUGGGAGAGAGGCACAGAGAUGUCUGAGAAUCCAGUGCUGGGCUCCUCCAGAGAUGUGAACGCUGUGAAAUCGCCCUCCAUUGAAAGCAUCUGGUGUAAGUAUGGGUAAAUAAAUCAUAUUUCAAAGACACUGCAGACUCUGCCUUGCUUCAUUUUCCCAAAGGGAACAUGGACCCUGGUUGAGUGCCAAAAGCUCUUGGGAUCUCAUGCACCCGUAACACAGUGUUUCUAUACUUGCCCCUGCCAGUACAUGGAAUGGAAAUUUCAGCUGAGAAUAAGGUUCUUUCAGGUUAAGGACUCUUCUGACCUCUCUGCUAACUCUGGGUUGCCAGGUUUCAAGUGCACUGAGCCAGGGGUAGUGAUAAAUAUUCAGUAGUAGAUGGCAAUGGAAAGUCGGCUUCUUUUCAUGUUUUGCAUGGUUUAGGAGCUUGGAAAGCUCGCUUUGUAAUUCCUUCCAGCUAAUAGCAUUCUUAUUCUAUCUUUUCCCAGCUUCUUGAGAGUGUCAUUUGAUUCAAAUUAUAAGCAUUCUGCAGAGAAUUCAAAUCUCAGAGAGGGAGAGAGACCCGUGUUUCCAAGCUCUUGCUGAAAUACUCUCCACACUUACGCAAGCUUGAAAUCUUCUGGAUUCUCAGCAGACUAAUGUGUGUAGCUGUAUGCACCAUCACAGCCCUUGGAUAGGAUAAUAUGCUUGAAAUGCUGGCACAGGUCUCUGUGCCAAGCACUUGAUCCUGCUCUGACAUACCUGAUGCAUGUACUUGCCACUUCUGAGAUCACAAAUGUUGUUGUUUAGUCAUUUAGUCAUGUCUGACUCUUCGUGACCCCGUGGACCAGAGCACGCCAGGCACUUCUGUCUUCCACUGCCUCCUGCAGUUUGGUCAAACUCAUGUUUGUAGCUUCGAGAACACUGUCCAACCAUCUCGUCCUCUGUCGUCCCCUUCUCCUUGUGCCCUCCAUCUUUCCCAACAUCAGGGUCUUUUCCAGGGAGUCUUCUCUUCCCAUGAGGUGGCCAAAGUAUUGGAGCCUCAGCUUCACGAUCUGUCCUUCCAGUGAGCACUCAGGGCUGAUUUCCUUAAGAAUGGAGAGGUUUGAUCUUCUUGCAGUCCAUGGGACUCUCAAGAGUCUCCUCCAGCACCAUAAUUCAAAAGCAUCAAUUAUUCGGCGAUCAGCCUUCUUUAUGGUCCAGCUCUCACUUCCAUACAUCACUACUGGGAAAACCAUAGCUUUAACUAUACGGACCUUUGUUGGCAAGGUAGAUCACAAAUAAGAACAAUCUAAAAGGGUUUGCUGAGUUCACAUUAAUGCUCAUUUAUGAAGGUAUGUGUCCUUGCUUCUGAGCCUCUGGGGAAGGGCUGCAACUCAGUGGUUGAGCAUCUCCAUUCCACGGAGAAGGUCCCAGGUUCAAUCCUGGGCCUCUCCAGGUAGGGCUGGGAAAGACUCCCUUCCUGAAAUCUGGGAGAGCUGCUGCCAGUCCGUGUAGACAACACUGAGCUAGAUGGUCAGUAUAAGGCAGCUUCCUGUGUUCCCAUGUUGCAAGUUCUUAUAUUUUCCAGUGGUGCAGUGGAAGAGAAACGCAGGGAAGUGCUGCGUCAGAGCAGGAGCAAUGACCUCCUCCAUCAAAGUGACUGAUGGACCUUCUGGCAAGGGAAUGAAGGGAUAAUGAGGCUUUUGAGUUUUGCAGCUUGUAGCCGUUUAGCAUAGAUGAAGUCAGAGAAUGAGGAAAAUAAUCCAGCAGAGCCGUAAGAGCGGUGGACUCGUAAUCUGGGGAACUGGGUUUGCGUCUCCGCUCCUCCAUGUGCAGCUGCUGGGUGACCUUGGGCUAGUCACACUUCUCUGAAGUCUCUCAGCCCCACUCACCUCACAGAGUGUUUGUUGUGGGGGAGGAAGGGAAAGGAGAAUGUUAGCUUUGAGACUCCUUCGGGUAGUGAUAAAUCCAAACUCCUCCUCUUCUUCUUCUUUCCCUUGAUGGGGUUUGCUACUUCAUGCUACAAUGCUCACACUUCUCAGCAAUAUGGUUUGCAUUUUAUUUAUUUAUUAUUAUUAAAAGGUGCAAGUUGCAUUUUAGCUGGAUGCAGGUCUUUUGCUAGCUCAAUGUGUUUUCCAAGUAAAUCUAUGCAGUCAGGAGUAAGCACCAUUGAGUUUAAUGAAGCUUACUUCCAGGAAACCAUGCACAGGAUUGCAGUCACAUUGUAAGCAAUAGUAAAACUUGAAAUUUUGCAUUUAAUCUAGCUAGGAAGUUAAAGGAACACACAGGCUAUAUAGGUUGUCAUGAUGAGCUCCUGCACUUCAAAGAUUACCACUAUGCCAUUGAUAUAUAUGGGGCACAUGACAUGUUCAGAGGAUGCAGAUAUAUAAAGUGUGGAAAUGAUUUUGCAUCUUACACUUCUUAGGAAUCUGAGACAGAGUGAAAUUCCCAGCUGUCAGGAGGGCAUCUCUCAGUAGCUUCCAUUGAUGGAAGAAUUUGAUUAGCUUCUCAACCUGCAGCAUUAGCACAUGGCCUGGGCAGGUGUGCAGCUGAAUGCAUGCUGAAUACUUAUGCUUGUGAUGCCUAUUGGUCAGUGAUGCCUUCCAAAAGUUUUCAGAGUACAGUGGUACCUCGGGGUAAGUACUUAAUUCAUUCUGGAGGUCCAUUCUUAACCUGAAACUGUUCUUAACCUGAAACACCACUCUAGCUAAUGGGGUCUCCUGCUGCCGCUGCGCAGCUGGAGCCCGAUUUCUGUUCUCAUCCUGAAGCAAAGUUCUUAACCCGAGGUACUAUUUCUGGGUUAGCGGAGUCUGUAACCUGAAGCGUAUGUAACCUGAAGCGUAUGUAACCCGAGGUACCACCAUACUAUCAACUGUAGCCAGCAUGGCUAACAGUUGCAGAUGAUGGAAAUUGUAGUCCAGCAAAAUCCCGAUCACACACAUUGACUUGUUGUCGUUUGAGGCUGCAACCUGCUCUGCUAUUAAGCCACCAUGCCUCCCAGUAUUUUAUUGCCUUACAGAAUCCUCUGGCAUGGGCGUAACCAGGAUUUUUGUUGGGGGUGGGGGCAGAACCUCAGUUUGCUAUGUAUUUUUAUUGAUUUUUAUCCCCCUCGCUCCUGGCUACGUCCAUGCCCUCUGGGAUUACGUUAGUGAUUUGUUAUAGAAAUCAAAAGUACAUUCUGUGGCGUUUGGCCCAGUCAACAGGGGAUUCCUCCCCCCCAAAAAAACAUACACCUUAAUGAUAAAAAGCAGCAUGUGUUUUCAGUCAGAUGUAUUUUAUGGCGUGCUGUAAAAUUUACCCACCGCAGUUCUGCAUUGUGUCACAGACAAUAAUGGAGCUGCCUUUUACAAUGUCGUUGUAUUUCAUUUUUGGAUGUAUACGGUAAAGGGCUGCCAUGGCCACAUUCAAGUGACAUCUUUAAACCAUUGCACAAAACUGAGUGCCGUAUUUUUCCGUCUAUAAGAUGCCCCCAUGUAUAAGACGCCCCUAUUUUGGGGACUCAGAUUUAAGAAAAUGUGGGGAGAUGGCCCUGUGUAUAAGACUCCCCCUAAUUUUUGACGUUAUUUUUUAAGGGGAAAAAACCUAGUCUUAUACAUGGAAAAAUAUGGUAAUUCAUGUAUUUUUUUCAUGGAGAAAGUUUCAUCCUUUAAACCAGGGGUGACCAAUGGCCAGGGAUGGUGGGCGUUGUCAGAAGUGAGACCAGUGGGGAGGGGAGCUUGUGGCAGCUGGAGGGGGAGGCACGCCUCUUCACCAGCCUGAAUCAUCUCUGCCUCUUGGCCUCCCUCCCCCAACUUUGGCUUCUGCCUCUGAUUUUGCCUCUCUGCUUCAGACUCUCCCAGCUCACUAAGCCCUGUUACCUGUUCUGCUUCUGCCCCCUCCUCCUCCCAGUCUUCUUCCCCUUCUUCCUCUAACCACUCAUCAAUGUCCCAUCACCAUUCCCUCAGCUUUCAGCCUUCUUUCAAUGGAGGUUCCUCAGCCAGUUCCUCCCACCACUCCUCUGCAUCCAACCAGUCCAUGACAGGCAUUUUAGUUCAGUGACAUCUGGAGGGCUAUAUUUUUCCCAUGCCCGUUUUAAGCAUUUAACGAUAGGAUUGAAUUUGUGCUUGGUUCCGUGGCAAGCAUAAGGUCCCUGCGUCUACAGGACAUGGAUGACUUCAUCAUACAAACUGUCCUUACAGGCAAAGACAUCCUGGGAAGUUUAAAGGGCUCUCUUAAUCUUCCCUUCCAGGACAGAGGAAGCCUCUAUACACCAAAUUCACAGGAACAAACCCAUGAAAGGAGACCCUGCAAAGGAACAUGUCAGAUUUGCAGCCUGAGAUAAUCUGAAAGAUGAACGUCUAUCUCAUUUAGGGUGGCAACCUAUGCAUUGUUGAUGAAAAGGAAAUGCAACACACACAUUAAAAAAAACCCAAAAACUGGGCAAAAAGAGGACACAGGUUUGCAUAAGAUUUGCAUAUGAAAAUGUAUAUGAACCGAUGCAAAUUUAGAAAUCAUUACUAUUUUUUUUUUAAAAAUAGAAAUACAUCUCACAGCAGUGUGGAAGACUCUCCAGGUGACUUGUAUACCUGCAUAGCUGUCAACUUUCCCCCUUUUUAAAGGGAAAUUCCCUUAUUCCGAAUAGGAUUCCUUGCAAGAAAAGGGAAAAGUUGACAGCUAUGUAUACCUGCUCAGUCUGUUAAUGAGCAACCUCAAGGCCCCUGUGCUCCCUUCUUAGGGUUCAUUAUCUUUAAAACAGCUUGGAUUCUUCAGCAUUUGAAACAGAGAGCUGUCCUCUGAUAGACCUCUAUAGUCUGCUCUUUGGAAGAUUGUCCACUCUGAAUCUGGUCCCCUCUAAAGUAAGACGGUUGGCUGCGUUAGUUCUACCAGCUGUAGCCUUAAAGGGAGAGGGAGCAGGGAGGGGAUUAAAUCCUGCCUCCCCCAUUUCAUCUCCUCAAUAACUGAUAGAUUAUUUUGCAGUGCCUGUGUACUCUGAGCAUUGGAUCAGAGGAGCAUAACAGAGAGUCAUGCUCUUAUGAACACCCUGUUCCCCACAUUUAUCUGCUGCUGAGAGGCUGGAAGCACCGUCACAUCAGAAGUUACCUGACUAGUGUGACUUAAGGCUGAAGCUGAUUAUCAUAAAAUGCAGGAUGAAUACCAUAACACACAGGCUCGUACCAUCUGCAUUUUGAGACAGACAGUCUAAGUUCAUGUAAAAAGGAACCGCUUCUUGGACUCAAUGUUUCUGAUCAAUUUUCCUUUGUUUAUGUUACCAAUGACGGAUUAUAAUGGAACUGCAGAUGUGGGUAACAUGGGGAAAAAAUACAUAAAACUUAACAUUGAUAUAUUUCCAGCUCCUUGUCAGACGUCAAAGGGAUUUUUUGAAAAAUGGAGUGAGGAAUUUAUAGAUGCAGUUGCAUUUGCAGAUAUAUAAAAAGAAUUCCAAUCGUUUUCAGAAUGAAAAGGAACUCGUGAAGCUAUUGUUUUGAAAAGGAGAAAAGUGUAAGAUAGGCAAAGUAGCAAGUUCAGAGGACACAUAUAUGCACUUUUCUGUCUCAGCACAAAAUGUUAUUUAAUAUUUAAAAGCAGGGUUCUCACCUUUAGCCACACCAUGGUUAAUUGCAUACACCUCUGUCCCUUGCAUGAAAUUUUCACAGCUGCUGCACAUUGAUCUCAGGUUCUCAGUGAGCUAUUCAGCACAACUUCAAGAUAUUGCUCCUAGUUAAUCACUGCUAGUUUAGACCCCAUCUAUGUAAACGGGAUGUUAGAAUUUUACUGACCCAGUCACUUUGCACAUAAUUAUAUUGGGGCAUGCUUGCUAUUUCGUUGCCCAGCCACCUAGACUGGAGAGAUUCUUUUAAAGCUCUCUGCAGAUACAGUGGUACCUCGGGUUAAGUACUUAAUUCGUUCCAGAGGUCCGUUCUUAACCUGAAACUGUUCUUAACCUGAAGCACCACUUUAGCUAAUGAGGCCUUCCGCUGCCACCGCGCCGGAGCACGAUUUCUGUUCUCAUCCUGAAGCAAAGUUCUUAACCCGAGGUAAUAUUUCUGGGUUAGCGGAGUCUGUAACCUGAAGCGUAUGUAACCUGAAGCGUAUGUAACCUGAGGUACCACUGUAAUUUGGCCUUCUCUGCUAACUUGGCUACACCUUCCCAUUCCUAACCUCAAAUGAUUUAUGAACAAGUCAGGAUACAUUGGUCCUAUUCAGAGAUGUGCGUCCGGACAAAGUUUGAAUAUCAAACUGAACCAGGCCAUUUAGGAGUUAUUCAGACCUCCUCCAAAGUGAAACAGGCCUUGUUCAAAGUGAAGGGGGCUUGCGGACCUUCUGCUAUUCCUCAGAUGAAAACAGGGACAUUUUUCACUCCUCCCCCAACUAACCCUUCUUAACUCCCCCAUUUUUGUUCCCCUUCACAGAGCAUUUCUUAUCAGAAGAAGGGCAAGUGCUGCAACAACCACACCAAUGAGACACAACAUACAUGCCUUCCACCAUCCUGAGAAAACCCCUGAAUCCCGAUUUUAUUUUAUUAUUUGGUAGAUUUAUGAAAGACUGUUUUACACACACACACACACACACACACACACACACACACACACUACAUUAGUCUAUGGUUCCAGG
This 6626-nucleotide long non-coding RNA is filed under the name Podarcis lilfordi (Lilford's wall lizard). The stretch from base 1427 to 1481 matches the Rfam family "tRNA", at positions 9 to 63 of the family's 71-position model. Lineage: Eukaryota; Metazoa; Chordata; Lepidosauria; Squamata; Lacertidae. The record is from RNAcentral.